UAUGUGUCAACUUGAGCAGGUUAAGGGAUGGCAGGUAGCUGGUAAAACAUUAUUUCUAGUUCUGGAGGCUGGGAAGUACAAUAUCAAGAUUCUGGAAGAUGUGGAGUCUGGUGAAGGACGUUGCAGUGUACCUACAUUGGGUGAACAUGGAUUUGGUAAACAAGUAUCAGCAUCCCAGAGCUUCCAAACAUAAAAAACAACAUCAAGGCUUAUUAAAUGAUUUUGAAUGUGAAAACAAGAAAGCAAGAAAAGGGCAGGACAAUAUAGCGCCACUGAAAGGAAGGUCGAGCUGCUGAACCUCCACAGUGAAGAAGAAUUGAAUAUGUUUGUUUGACAUACUUUCUCAUUGGACAGCCUCACAAGCAGCAUAAUGACUAAGGAAUAGGACCAUCGGAGGCUGCACUUUCUGUGACCCAUUCUUCCUUCAUCCUUGCAAAUAGGAAUUCAUUUUAAGAAACAAUUAAACUACUUCUUCAUUCAUCUAAGCAUUCCUGGGAAAAUAAGUGUUAUAUCUAUGUGAGUUUUCUACAUAAUUGAAGCUUAUCCCUAUUAAAGUC
RNAcentral lists this long non-coding RNA (557 nucleotides) under Mustela putorius furo (domestic ferret). Its description in RNAcentral is "lncRNA (ENSMPUG00000028552.1)". The record is from RNAcentral. Lineage: Eukaryota; Metazoa; Chordata; Mammalia; Carnivora; Mustelidae.